AAACUUAAUUAGCUAUAGUUUCAAAACUAUAAAUUUUGAAGAAAAAAAUCUACACAAAAUGCAAGUUCUAAAAAAACAACUAAAAACUUAUAUUGUAUAAAAUAUCUAAUAUGAAUAGUAAAUCUGAAGUAGUGCAAUUUUUGGAUUAAAAAGAAAUUUGAAAAUAAAUGGAAAAAGUUUUGAAAAUUUUGCGAUAAGGAAAAAAUAACAAUUUGGAAAAUAUUCACAUCAAUCAAACUUCAAUGCAUUUAUUUGCCCAAGGAAAUGCAACAGGUAAGCUAGACUAUAAGAAACGCAAAUAUUCCUUUUUUUAAAAAAAAAACGACAAAAAAAUACAGAAUGGCUGUCUCAACGACAAUAUUCUCAUGGAUUUCAUUGUUGUCGUCACUUUUUUGUGCAAAAAUAAAAAAUAUAUAUGUAUAAAUUGCUGCUGUUCGAUGCUCGGUUGCACAAACAACAUAACAAUAACAGCAGCAACAACCAAAAAAACAGAAAAA
Molecule: long non-coding RNA, 497 nt
Organism: Calliphora vicina (urban bluebottle blowfly)
Lineage: Eukaryota; Metazoa; Arthropoda; Insecta; Diptera; Calliphoridae
Exons: 2
Source: RefSeq, a predicted model, not a curated record